Molecule: transfer RNA, 59 nt
Filed under: Erythranthe guttata (spotted monkey flower)
Lineage: Eukaryota; Viridiplantae; Streptophyta; Magnoliopsida; Lamiales; Phrymaceae
Description: Mimulus guttatus (spotted monkey flower) tRNA
Rfam family: tRNA
About the family: Transfer RNA (tRNA) molecules are approximately 80 nucleotides in length. Their secondary structure includes four short double-helical elements and three loops (D, anti-codon, and T loops).
Source: Rfam by way of RNAcentral
GUAGAGAUAUGGUAGCUCGCAAGGCUCAAAACCUUGAGGUUACGGGUUCAAAUCCUGUC